GGCAGACCUGAGGGUGGUGAGUUCUCCCAAAUGAUUGCUCACAGUUAAAGAUAGAACCUCAUAUUCUUAACUCCCCCUUCUAACUACUGUGCUUGACUAGUCUAAA
Cricetulus griseus (Chinese hamster) is the source of this 106-nucleotide unclassified non-coding RNA. It matches the Rfam family "Y RNA". Rfam says of the family: Y RNAs are components of the Ro ribonucleoprotein particle (Ro RNP), in association with Ro60 and La proteins. The Y RNAs and Ro60 and La proteins are well conserved, but the function of the Ro RNP is not known. In humans the RNA component can be one of four small RNAs -- hY1, hY3, hY4 and hY5. The record is from Ensembl. Lineage: Eukaryota; Metazoa; Chordata; Mammalia; Rodentia; Cricetidae.